RNAcentral lists this long non-coding RNA (1292 nucleotides) under Homo sapiens (human). Its description in RNAcentral is "HSALNT0305779". The record is from RNAcentral. Lineage: Eukaryota; Metazoa; Chordata; Mammalia; Primates; Hominidae.
GCAAUAGGUCACAAUCUCCCCUGUGGGCAGAACCUAGGAAGAAGAGAAAAGUCACAUGAGCUAGAUUUAUUAAGGUCGUCUUCUGGGUUCUGUUAUUAUAAAGAGAAGUCUCCUUGUCCUUCCUGUGCAGAUACUCUGGCUAGUUUUCUCUUGUGGGUUGCAGUUUCUUCAGUGGUUCUUGGUCUGGAUUUAUUUUCAUUCAUUCUGCUUGGUGCUCAUUAUAAUUCCCACAUGUGCAGAGAACAGGACCAGGAGUGAGUUGCCUAAAGAGAGGCUAUUGUGAUUGAAAACCAAGUUCUGAGAUCAGCUCCACGCAUCACAACCUAAUUGCAUUUAUUCCUGUCCUAUUUAAUAAACUACUAUCUCUGGAAAUUAAGAUUAAGGCCAUAAUUUGUUUUUAGCUACAAAGAGAAAGCUGGCCUGCAAGGUGGGAAGACAGGAAAAAAUCUAAAGAGCUGUUGGCUUGGGGGCAUCAAGGAGCCUGGGAGAUAGGCCAUAGUCCUGGGUUGUUUUCCCAGCCACACACACAUGCCAAGACCCUCGAACAAAGACUAGCUGGUCAUCAGCUCCUCAUAGAUGGGGCAACCUCCACACUGAUUUGGUGAGCAAGAGCUAAGAGGAGAACCUGUGCUCAGUCAAUAAGGAAUGCCCUUACCAUCAGAUGCGUGCUUGCUUGAAAAGAAAAUUGAGAUAAGUUCAUAGUCAAGCUUUAUCGAGACAUACCAUUGACUUCUUUUGCUUCAGAACAUGAGCCCUCUCUGUCACUGACUGGCAGGCACUGCCCGUAUUUCUGAUCCUGACUCCUUUAGGAAGCCUAAAUGUGCUUGAUCUGAAGUGCUAUUCCCCUCAUUGACUGAGAUAGGACCUGCUCUAUCUCAUCAGGAAACCCGGACUGCAUUUUACAGCUUGAUGGUGUCAGCAUGUCUCAGCAAUAAAAACUGCUGUUCUCAAUGUCACCAAUCACAUGGACAUCACAAAUCACUUGCAAAGUCAACAGACUCUUGUCUGCCCGCACAGUCUUCAGAAAAUGUGUCCAGGUGAAUUCAAAGCAAGGCAUUCUAAUUAGAACAAUGUACAGAAGGAAAGAAGGUAUGAGAGUCUGAGGGGAGUUUGAGGAACAGAAAGUAGACAGGGCAUCUCUGAAUUGGGGACUCUGAUUGGCCCAGAAGGAAUCAACUACUAUGUCUGUGUGCAUAAGAACAGAGAUAGGCAAAGUUGACUGUAAGAAAUGGAACAUCCGGGCCACGCACAGUGGCUCACACCUGUAAUCCCAGCACUUUGGGAGGCUGAGG